CCUACGGGGUGCUGCAGUGAGGAAUAUUGGUCAAUGGGCGCGAGCCUGAACCAGCCAAGUCGCGUGAGGGAAGACGGUCCUAUGGAUUGUAAACCUCUUUUGUCGGGGAGCAAAAGACGCCACGCGUGGCGUUCCGAGAGUACCCGAAGAAAAAGCAUCGGCUAACUCCGUGCCAGCAGCCGCGGUAAUACGGAGGAUGCGAGCGUUAUCCGGAUUUAUUGGGUUUAAAGGGUGCGCAGGCGGGAGAUCAAGUCAGCGGUAAAAUUGAGAGGCUCAACCUCUUCGAGCCGUUGAAACUGGUUGUCUUGAGUGAGUGAGAAGUAUGCGGAAUGCGUGGUGUAGCGGUGAAAUGCAUAGAUAUCACGCAGAACUCCGAUUGCGAAGGCAGCAUACCGGCGCUCAACUGACGCUCAUGCACGAAAGUGUGGGUAUCGAACAGGAUUAGAUACCCCAGUAGUC
RNAcentral lists this ribosomal RNA (459 nucleotides) under uncultured bacterium. RNAcentral describes it as "partial 16S ribosomal RNA". It matches the Rfam family "Bacterial small subunit ribosomal RNA", at positions 338 to 795 of the family's 1533-position model. The record is from RNAcentral.